GAUGAACGCUGGCGGCGUGCCUAAUACAUGCAAGUCGAGCGAACGGACGAGAAGCUUGCUUCUCUGAUGUUAGCGGCGGACGGGUGAGUAACGCGUGGAUAACCUACCUAUAAGACUGGGAUAACUUCGGGAAACCGGAGCUAAUACCGGAUAAUAUUUUGAACCGCAUGGUUCAAAAGUGAAAGACGGUCUUGCUGUCACUUAUAGAUGGAUCCGCGCUGCAUUAGCUAGUUGGUAAGGUAACGGCUUACCAAGGCAACGAUGCAUAGCCGACCUGAGAGGGUGAUCGGCCACACUGGAACUGAGACACGGUCCAUGCUCCUACGGGAGGCAGCAGUAGGGAAUCUUCCGCAAUGGGCGAAAGCCUGACGGAACGAGCCGGCGUGAGUGAUGGAGGUCUUCGGAUCGUAAAGCUCUGUUAUUAGGGAAGAACAUAUGUGUAAGUAACUGUAGACAUCUUGACGGUACCUAAACAGAAAGCCACGGCUAACUACGUG
Molecule: ribosomal RNA, 497 nt
Filed under: uncultured bacterium
Lineage: Bacteria
Description: partial 16S ribosomal RNA
Rfam family: Bacterial small subunit ribosomal RNA
Source: RNAcentral